Aspergillus calidoustus is the source of this 73-nucleotide small nucleolar RNA. It matches the Rfam family "A. fumigatus snoRNA Afu_328". Lineage: Eukaryota; Fungi; Ascomycota; Eurotiomycetes; Eurotiales; Aspergillaceae. The record is from Rfam.
UUUCAUGAUGAGCAAUUUCAUUAUUAGUUAUCCCUGUCAGAACCAUACUGUUGAUAACGUACAACUCUGAAAU